This 592-nucleotide long non-coding RNA is filed under the name Apteryx haastii (Great spotted kiwi). RNAcentral's name for it is "lncRNA (ENSAHAG00000009041.1)". Lineage: Eukaryota; Metazoa; Chordata; Aves; Apterygiformes; Apterygidae. The record is from RNAcentral.
UGUAUUGGGUCAUCCCAGUUCAUACUGGGGUCAUCCCAGUCCAUCCUAGGGUCAUCCCAGUCCAUACUGGGGUCAUCCCAGUCCAUACUGGAGUCAUCUCAGUCCAUGCUGGGGUCAUCCCAGUCCACGCUGGAAUCAUUCCAGUUCAUACUGGGGUCAUCCCAGUCCACACUGGAGUCAUCCCAGUCCAUGCUGGGGUCAUUCCAGUCCAUCCUAGGGUCAUCCCAGUCCAUGCUGGGGUCAUCCCAGUCCAUAUUGGGUCAUCCCAGUUCAUACUGGGGCCAUCCCAGUACAAACCAGGGUCAUCCCAGUCCAUGCCGGGGUCAUUCCAGUCCAUCCUAGGGUCAUCCCAGUUCAUACUGGGGUCAUCCCAGUCUAUACUAGGGUCAUCCCAGUCCAUAUUGGGCCAUCCCAGUCUAUCCUGGAGUCAUCCCAGUUCAUACUGGGGUCAUCCCAGUCCAUGCUGGGGUCAUCCCAGUCUGUAUUGGGGUCAUCCCAGUACAAGCUGGGGUUACUCCAGUCCAUACUGGGGCCCCAGACCCUCCCUAGUCCGUACUGGGACUCCUACAGUCCAUACUGGAACCCCCCUGUG